Molecule: ribosomal RNA, 254 nt
Filed under: uncultured bacterium
Lineage: Bacteria
Description: partial 16S ribosomal RNA
Rfam family: Bacterial small subunit ribosomal RNA
Source: RNAcentral
UACGUAGGUGGCAAGCGUUGUCCGGAUUUACUGGGCGUAAAGAGCGCGCAGGCGGUCGUUCAAGUCGCGUGUGAAAGCCCCCGGCUCAACUGGGGAGGGUCACGCGAUACUGAUCGACUCGAAGGCAGGAGAGGGUAGUGGAAUUCCCGGUGUAGUGGUGAAAUGCGUAGAUAUCGGGAGGAACACCAGUGGCGAAGGCGACUACCUGGCCUGUUUCUUGACGCUGAAGCGCGAAAGCUAGGGGAGCAAACGGG